This 441-nucleotide ribosomal RNA is filed under the name uncultured bacterium. RNAcentral's name for it is "bacterial SSU rRNA". It matches the Rfam family "Bacterial small subunit ribosomal RNA", at positions 339 to 796 of the family's 1533-position model. The record is from RNAcentral.
CUACGCGAGGCAGCAGUGAGGAAUAUUGGGCAAUGGGCGAGAGCCUGACCCAGCAACGCCGCGUGGAGGACGAAGACCUUCGGGUUGUAAACUCCUUUUCUGGGGGAAGAGAAAGGACGGUACCCCAGGAAUAAGUCACGGCUAACUACGUGCCAGCAGCCGCGGUAAAACGUAGGUGGCAAGCGUUAUCCGGAUUUACUGGGUGUAAAGCGCGUGCAGGCGGUUCAGAAAGUUGGAUGUAAAAGCUCCCGGCUCAACUGGGAGAGGUCGUUCAAAACUACUGGGCUAGAGGAUGGCAGAGGGAGGUGGAAUUCCGGGAGUAGUGGUGAAAUGCGUAGAUAUCCGGAGGAACACCAGUGGCGAAAGCGGCCUCCUGGGCCAUAACUGACGCUCAGACGCGAAAGCUAGGGUAGCAAACGGGAUUAGAUACCCGUGUAGUCC